RNAcentral lists this ribosomal RNA (497 nucleotides) under uncultured bacterium. RNAcentral's name for it is "partial 16S ribosomal RNA". It matches the Rfam family "Bacterial small subunit ribosomal RNA", at positions 28 to 507 of the family's 1533-position model. The record is from RNAcentral.
GAUGAACGCUGGCGGCGUGCCUAAUACAUGCAAGUCGAGCGAACGGACGAGAAGCUUGCUUCUCUGAUGUUAGCGGCGGACGGGUGAGUAACACGUGGAUAACCUACCUAUAAGACUGGGAUAACUUCGGGAAACCGGAGCUAAUACCGGAUGAUAUUUUGAACCGCAUGGUUCAAAAGUGAAAGACGGUCUUGCUGUCACUUAUAGAUGGAUCCGCGCUGCAUUAGCUAGUUGGUAAGGUAACGGCUUACCAAGGCAACGAUGCAUAGCCGACCUGAGAGGGUGAUCGGCCACACUGGAACUGAGACACGGUCCAGACUCCUACGGGAGGCAGCAGUAGGGAAUCUUUCGCAAUGGGCGAAAGCCUGACGGAGCAACGCCGCGUGAGUGAUGAAGGUCUUCGGAUCGUAAAACUCUGUUAUUAGGGAAGAACAUAUGUGUAAGUAACUGUGCACAUCUUGACGGUACCUAAUCAGAAAGCCACGGCUAACUACGUG